UUUAAUUUGAAAAACAAGACAUUGUUUCAUUGAAUCCAAAGGGCUAUUUCCAUUCAAUGGUCCAUUUCAUUCAAAAACGUACAUAUACAAAGUUUUAUACAAAAAAAUUACAAAAAUAUAAGUUUGACCUAUAGUUGACUUUUGGUCAACUGUUGACUUUUUGGUUAACCAAUUGAUCAAAGCCAACUGACCCAAUUUCUAGACCUAACACAUAAUUUCCACAUUGAUUCUUCAUUCUUUUACAUCCUUUCACUUAAUUGCAUGACCAAACAUUUCUUCUUCAGCAAGUAAACUUUUUUUUCUCCAAACCAUCACCAUGAGCUUUCAUGUAGUUCCAUGCCAAGCAAGCUUCAGUCAUCAACAUAUCAACUUGCAACAAGCCAAACAUCUCAACCAUUAUCAUAGCAUUUCAAACAGCCUACAAGAUUCAUGUUAAAAUAUCAAGCACUCAUAACAUCCUACAUGGCAAUGCAAAAUACAAUAAUGUAGCAUACUGCUACAUCAAAACAGCUUGUCGAGUAACAACCAUGUAUCCAUGCUCACCUAUUUACAACAAAUCCAUUCAAGCAACGCUUCAAAACAAGCCAUCAACAUAACAUUCAUAGCAAACAUCAUCAACAAAACUGAGCAAGCAACAUACUUAACAUUCAAAUAGCUAUAACAGCACACUUAUAACCUACCAUAACCAAUCCAUUUAACUUCCAAUUACUAACUAUUUAUGUCCUAAUUCUAACAAUUUUAAGACAAAGUUUCAGUAUGAAUUAAUUCACUUGCAUUGACAUCAUUCAAAAUACUUUUCAACUGAUUUCUAACAUUGCAACAAAUACAAUAACAUAGAAUUUCAAUUACUCAUUAAAAUUCACUACCUGUCAAGUUUAAUUCAUACUAAAUAAUCCCAAUCAGCUAACAACAACAAGCAUAUCAGCAGCUAACGUACAAGCAUGGCGUAUCAACUCACUUCAGUCAAGUAACAUACAUGGCAGACAUGGAAUUUGCAAAAAGCAUCAAUCACUGUUAAACCUGUUUAUGAAAAUUGAACUACACAACAACAACAAGACGCAUGAGCAAGACCUGUAGUAUUAAAUUCAAUCAUUCCAUCAAUCCAUCAUAACAAAGAGCAUUACACCAAUCAAGCCACCAAUCCAAACAUUACAAAACAAUGCCUAAACAUGACAUACAAUAUGACAAACCACUUGCAAGAACUCACCAAAACAUGACCUCACCAACCAUGACCAUUGACCUGCUGCAACCUCACCAUGACUUGCUACAUCAAUAUACAUCUGCCUUUAACUUACAUUAAUGCCCUACAUCCACACAUCAUGACCUGUAACAAUAUCCAUCAAGCCUUGACACACUAUCAUCACCAUGAACAUGAUGCAACCUGGAAUAUUAGCAUGCCAUACAAAAACUCAAUACAAAUUUCAAAUACUCAAUCCACUAACAGUCAGUUUAACUAAUAUUUCACUAACAGAGCAAUGACAGUUCAAACUUUCAACUAAUUCUCCUUUGGUUAAUGCUAACUAACUAAUGCAUUAACUGACUUUAAGUGGAAUUGACUAACUGCAUAACUAGUUAACGGUGUUAACUCUUCUAACAAACUUACCCAUUGAUUGAACUAACCUUAACCUUCAAUAAAACUUUUCCUGACUCUGCCCCAUUUUGUUACAAACUAUGAGCCCUAUAAAUCAAAACUCACACACACAUCCAAGGGGAUUGAUCACAAUACCGAAAAUCUCAGAAUCUUUGCAUCAUCUUCAACCUCUCAACUAUAAUCACUCAGAGCACAUCCCUAGACUUCUACAGAGUCUCGACAAUGGACCUUGAAUGAAGGUGUGUUAAACCUCCAUCUGAUUCCAU
This 1857-nucleotide long non-coding RNA is filed under the name Lathyrus oleraceus (garden pea). RNAcentral's name for it is "Pisum sativum (pea) long non-coding RNA (PSAT_LNC011993)". Lineage: Eukaryota; Viridiplantae; Streptophyta; Magnoliopsida; Fabales; Fabaceae. The record is from RNAcentral.